GAUGAACGCUGGCGGCGUGCCUAAUACAUGCAAGUCGAGCGAACGGACGAGAAGCUUGCUUUUCUGAUGUUAGCGGCGGACGGGUGAGUAACACGUGGAUAACCUACCUAUAAGACUGGGAUAACUUCGGGAAACCGGAGCUAAUACCGGAUAAUAUUUUGAACCGCAUGGUUCAAAAGUGAAAGACGGUCUUGCUGUCACUUAUAGAUGGAUCCGCGCUGCAUUAGCUAGUUGGUAAGGUAACGGCUUACCAAGGCAACGAUGCAUAGCCGACCUGAGAGGGGGAUCGGCCAAAAGGGAACUGAGACACGGUCCAGACUCCUACGGGAGGCAGCAGUAGGGAAUCUUCAGCAAUGGGCGAAAGCCUGACGGAGCAACGCCGCGUGAGUGAUGAAGGUCUUCGGAUCGUAAAACUCUGUUAUUAGGGAAGAACAUAUGUGUAAGUAACUGUGCACAUCUUGACGGUACCUAAUCAGAAAGCCACGGCUAACUACGUG
This 497-nucleotide ribosomal RNA is filed under the name uncultured bacterium. Its description in RNAcentral is "partial 16S ribosomal RNA". It matches the Rfam family "Bacterial small subunit ribosomal RNA", at positions 28 to 507 of the family's 1533-position model. The record is from RNAcentral.